AAGAUAUUAGUAAAAUAAAUUACAUCACUUUGUCAAGGUGAAAUUGCAGGUUAAACUCCUGUGUAUCUUU
Molecule: transfer RNA, 70 nt
Filed under: Sinorhodeus microlepis
Lineage: Eukaryota; Metazoa; Chordata; Actinopteri; Cypriniformes; Acheilognathidae
Description: tRNA-Asp
Rfam family: tRNA
About the family: Transfer RNA (tRNA) molecules are approximately 80 nucleotides in length. Their secondary structure includes four short double-helical elements and three loops (D, anti-codon, and T loops). Further hydrogen bonds mediate the characteristic L-shaped molecular structure. tRNAs have two regions of fundamental functional importance: the anti-codon, which is responsible for specific mRNA codon recognition, and the 3' end, to which the tRNAs corresponding amino acid is attached (by aminoacyl-tRNA synthetases). tRNAs cope with the degeneracy of the genetic code in two manners: having more than one tRNA (with a specific anti-codon) for a particular amino acid; and 'wobble' base-pairing, i.e. permitting non-standard base-pairing at the 3rd anti-codon position.
Source: RNAcentral